Molecule: ribosomal RNA, 433 nt
Filed under: uncultured bacterium
Lineage: Bacteria
Description: partial 16S ribosomal RNA
Rfam family: Bacterial small subunit ribosomal RNA
Source: RNAcentral
AACGAACGCUGGCGGCAUGCCUAACACAUGCAAGUCGAACGAGACCUUCGGGUCUAGUGGCGCACGGGUGCGUAACGCGUGGGAACCUGCCCUUAGGUUCGGAAUAACUCCCCGAAAGGGGUGCUAAUACGGGAUAAGGUCUUCGAACCAAAGAUUUAUCGCCUUUGGAUGGGCCCGCGUUGGAUUAGCUAGUUGGUAGGGUAAAAGCCUACCAAGGCGACGAUCCAUAGCUGGUCUGAGAGGAUGAUCAGCCACACUGGGACUGAGACACGGCCCAGACUCCUACGGGAGGCAGCAGUGGGGAAUAUUGGACAAUGGGCGAAAGCCUGAUCCAGCAAUGCCGCGUGAGUGAUGAAGGCCUUAGGGUUGUAAAGCUCUUUUACCCGGGAUGAUAAUGACAGUACCGGGAGAAUAAGCUCCGGCUAACUCCGUG